GCUCAGGAUGAACGCUGGCGGCGUGCUUAACACAUGCAAGUCGAACGGGAAAUACUUUAUUGAAACUUCGGUGGAUUUAAUUUAUUUCUAGUGGCGGACGGGUGAGUAACGCGUGGGUAACCUGCCUUAUACCGGGGGAUAACAGCCAGAAAUGACUGCUAAUACCGCAUAAGCGCACAGAACCGCAUGGUUCGGUGUGAAAAACUCCGGUGGUAUAAGAUGGACCCGCGUUGGAUUAGCUAGUUGGCAGGGCAGUGGCCUACCAAGGCGACGAUCCAUAGCCGGCCUGAGAGGGUGAACGGCCACAUUGGGACUGAGACACGGCCCAGACUCCUACGGGAGGCAGCAGUA
Molecule: ribosomal RNA, 351 nt
Filed under: uncultured bacterium
Lineage: Bacteria
Description: bacterial SSU rRNA
Rfam family: Bacterial small subunit ribosomal RNA
Source: RNAcentral